This 468-nucleotide ribosomal RNA is filed under the name uncultured bacterium. Its description in RNAcentral is "partial 16S ribosomal RNA". It matches the Rfam family "Bacterial small subunit ribosomal RNA", at positions 28 to 507 of the family's 1533-position model. The record is from RNAcentral.
GAUGAACGCUGGCGGCGUGCUUAACACAUGCAAGUCGAACGGUGAAGGCGGAGCUUGCUCUGCUGGAUCAGUGGCGAACGGGUGAGUAACACGUGAGCAAUCUGCCCCUGACUCUGGGAUAAGCGCUGGAAACGGCGUCUAAUACUGGAUACGAGCUGCGAAGGCAUCUUCAGCAGCUGGAAAGAAUUUCGGUCAGGGCUAAGCUCGCGGCCUAUCAGCUUGUUGGUGAGGUAAUGGCUCACCAAGGCGUCGACGGGUAGCCGGCCUGAGAGGGUGACCGGCCACACUGGGACUGAGACACGGCCCAGACUCCUACGGGAGGCAGCAGUGGGGAAUAUUGCACAAUGGGCGAAAGCCUGAUGCAGCAACGCCGCGUGAGGGACGACGGCCUUCGGGUUGUAAACCUCUGUUAGCAGGGAAGAAGCGAAAGUGACGGUACCUGCAGAAAAAGCGCCGGCUAACUACGUG